UUAACAGUCCUGGAGACUGAAGUCCUCUAUUUAACCAAACAGGUACGUCUCAUGCAGCAGUAGUGCAAGUUCUCUACACUCCACUAUCAGCAAAUGCCUCCUGGGAAAGGAGAGAGGAUGGGCCUCAGAAUUGUUUGGGUAACAGUGACU
This 150-nucleotide small RNA is filed under the name Chelonoidis abingdonii (Abingdon island giant tortoise). RNAcentral's name for it is "TUC338 (ENSCABG00000019652.1)". The record is from RNAcentral. Lineage: Eukaryota; Metazoa; Chordata; Testudines; Testudinidae.